This 450-nucleotide ribosomal RNA is filed under the name uncultured bacterium. Its description in RNAcentral is "bacterial SSU rRNA". It matches the Rfam family "Bacterial small subunit ribosomal RNA", at positions 354 to 796 of the family's 1533-position model. The record is from RNAcentral.
GUGGGGAAUAUUGGACAAUGGGCGAAAGCCUGAUCCAGCCAUGCCGCGUGUGUGAAGAAGGUCUUCGGAUUGUAAAGCACUUUAAGUUGGGAGGAAGGGUAGUAACCUAAUACGUUGCUACUUUGACGUUACCGACAGAAUAAGCACCGGCUAACUUCGUGCCAGCAGCCGCGGUAAUACGAAGGGUGCAAGCGUUAAUCGGAAUUACUGGGCGUAAAGCGCGCGUAGGUGGUUUUGUAAGUUGGAGGUGAAAUCCCCGGGCUCAACCUGGGAACUGCCUCCAAAACUGCAUGACUAGAGUACGGUAGAGGGUAGUGGAAUUUCCUGUGUAGCGGUGAAAUGCGUAGAUAUAGGAAGGAACACCAGUGGCGAAGGCGACUACCUGGACUGAUACUGACACUGAGGUGCGAAAGCGUGGGGAGCAAACAGGAUUAGAAACCCCUGUAGUCC